RNAcentral lists this ribosomal RNA (415 nucleotides) under uncultured bacterium. Its description in RNAcentral is "bacterial SSU rRNA". It matches the Rfam family "Bacterial small subunit ribosomal RNA", at positions 505 to 916 of the family's 1533-position model. The record is from RNAcentral.
GUGCCAGCAGCCGCGGUAAUACGUAGGGUGCGAGCGUUGUCCGGAUUUACUGGGCGUAAAGAGCUCGUAGGCGGUUUGUCGCGUCGUCUGUGAAAUCCCUCGGCUCAACCGUGGGCGUGCAGGCGAUACGGGCAUAACUUGAGUACUGUAGGGGAGACUGGAAUUCCUGGUGUAGCGGUGGAAUGCGCAGAUAUCAGGAGGAACACCGGUGGCGAAGGCGGGUCUCUGGGCAGUAACUGACGCUGAGGAGCGAAAGCGUGGGUAGCGAACAGGAUUAGAUACCCUGGUAGUCCACGCCGUAAACGGUGGGUACUAGGUGUGGGUUUCCUUCCACGGGAUCCGUGCCGUAGCUAACGCAUUAAGUACCCCGCCUGGGGAGUACGGCCGCAAGGCUAAAACUUAAAUGAAUUGACGG